AGCAGUAGCCGCGGUAAUACGAAGGGGGCUAGCGUUGUUCGGAUUUACUGGGCGUAAAGCGCACGUAGGCGGACUUUUAAGUCAGGGGUGAAAUCCCGGGGCUCAACCCCGGAACUGCCUUUGAUACUGGAAGUCUUGAGUAUGGUAGAGGUGAGUGGAAUUCCGAGUGUAGAGGUGAAAUUCGUAGAUAUUCGGAGGAACACCAGUGGCGAAGGCGGCUCACUGGACCAUUACUGACGCUGAGGUGCGAAAGCGUGGGGAGCAAACAGGAUUAGAUACCCCAGUAGUCCCUGUCUCUUAUAA
RNAcentral lists this ribosomal RNA (303 nucleotides) under uncultured bacterium. RNAcentral's name for it is "partial 16S ribosomal RNA". It matches the Rfam family "Bacterial small subunit ribosomal RNA", at positions 507 to 809 of the family's 1533-position model. The record is from RNAcentral.